RNAcentral lists this ribosomal RNA (239 nucleotides) under uncultured bacterium. RNAcentral describes it as "partial 16S ribosomal RNA". It matches the Rfam family "Bacterial small subunit ribosomal RNA", at positions 15 to 235 of the family's 1533-position model. The record is from RNAcentral.
GAUCCUGGCUCAGGAUGAACGCUGGCGGCGUGCUUAACACAUGCAAGUCGUGCGAAGCACUUAAGUUUGAUUCUUCGGAUGAAGACUUUUGUGACUGAGCGGCGGACGGGUGAGUAACGCGUGGGUAACCUGCCUCAUACAGGGGGGAUAACAGUUAGAAAUGGCUGCUAAUACCGCAUAAGACCACAGUACUGCAUGGUACAGUGGUAAAAACUCCGGUGGUAUGAGAUGGACCCGCG